RNAcentral lists this non-coding RNA (792 nucleotides) under Peltoperlopsis cebuano. Its description in RNAcentral is "12S ribosomal RNA". The stretch from base 379 to 785 matches the Rfam family "Microsporidia small subunit ribosomal RNA", at positions 752 to 1303 of the family's 1311-position model. The record is from RNAcentral. Lineage: Eukaryota; Metazoa; Arthropoda; Insecta; Plecoptera; Peltoperlidae.
UAGAAGUUUUAUUCUUGCUUGAAAAUUUAUUUAAUUGUUGUUUUACAUGUAAAUUUUAGUGUGAAAGAAAUUUUAUCUGAAUGGUAAAGUUUGUUGGAUUUAUGCGCAGUAUUUGUAUUUAUUUAUCAAAGUAAUUUGGAAUUAGUAAUUUGUGUUAGUACCGGCAAAAGUCGUGCCAGCUGCCGCGGUUAUACGAAGGGUGCAAAUAAAUAUUUUUGGUUGUGAGUUAAAUUGUAAUGUAUUAGAAGUUAAAAGAGAAUUUUUUGAGUGGAAUCUUUAAAUUUUUAUUAAUUUCUAUAUGGAUUGUUGAAGCUGAGAAAUUUGAAUGUGAAACUAGGAUUAGAUACCCUAUUAUUUUGGAUGUUAAUGUUUAAACUUGAGUAGUAAUAGUUAUGUUCUUGAAACUUAAAGAAUUUGGCGGUGUUUUAUACUUUUCAGAGGAACUUGUCCCGUAAUCGAUAAUCCACGUUGGACUUUACUUAAAUUGUUAUAGUAUGUAUACCGCCGUCGUCAGAAUGUCUUUGUAGGGGAUGAAUUUUCUUUAAUUUUAAUUAUAAUAGAUGUCAGGUCAAGGUGCAGCUUAUGUUUAAGAGGAGAUGAGUUACAAUAAAUUUAUUUAUACGGAUUAUUUUUUGCAAAGAGGGGUAUGAAGGUGGAUUUGAUUGUAAAUGAGAUAAAUUUAAUUAAGUUGAUUGAGGCUCUGAAACAUGCACACAUCGCCCGUCGCUCUCGUUAUUAAGGCGAGAUAAGUCGUAACAUAGUAGAUGUACCGGAAGGUGUAUCUAGAACGUU